Molecule: non-coding RNA, 83 nt
Filed under: unclassified sequences
Description: RAGATH-18 RNA
Rfam family: RAGATH-18 RNA
About the family: Actinobacteria, Firmicutes, Fusobacteria, Thermotogae (1 example). Nearby to self-cleaving ribozyme genes
Source: Rfam by way of RNAcentral
ACUAUGGAGAGUACAAGGAACUAUGAGUAGAUACUAAGAUACAUAGAUACAAAGUAUUGAAAAUAUACUCAAUGAAGUAGUAA